This 544-nucleotide ribosomal RNA is filed under the name uncultured bacterium. RNAcentral's name for it is "bacterial SSU rRNA". It matches the Rfam family "Bacterial small subunit ribosomal RNA", at positions 347 to 910 of the family's 1533-position model. The record is from RNAcentral.
GGCAGCAGUGGGGAAUAUUGGACAAUGGGGGAAACCCUGAUCCAGCCAUGCCGCGUGAGUGAUGAAGGCCUUAGGGUUGUAAAGCUCUUUUAGCAGGGAAGAUGAUGACGGUACCUGCAGAAUAAGCACCGGCUAACUUCGUGCCAGCAGCCGCGGUAAUACGAAGGGUGCUAGCGUUGUUCGGAAUCACUGGGCGUAAAGCGUGCGUAGGCGGCUAAACAAGUCAGGGGUGAAAGCCUGAGGCUCAACCUCAGAAUUGCCUUUGAAACUGUUUAGCUGGAGUGUCGGAGGGGAUAGCGGAAUUCCUAAUGUAGCGGUGAAAUGCGUAGAUAUUAGGAGGAACACCGGUGGCGAAGGCGGCUAUCUGGACGACAACUGACGCUGAGGCACGAAAGCGUGGGGAUCAAACAGGAUUAGAUACCCUGGUAGUCCACGCUGUAAACGAUGGGUGCUAGCCGUUGGGGGGUUACCUCUCAGUGGCGUAGUUAACGCGUUAAGCACCCCGCCUGGGGAGUACGGUCGCAAGAUUAAAACUCAAAGGAAU